Molecule: long non-coding RNA, 1577 nt
Organism: Callithrix jacchus (white-tufted-ear marmoset)
Lineage: Eukaryota; Metazoa; Chordata; Mammalia; Primates; Cebidae
Source: RefSeq, a predicted model, not a curated record
GCCAUCUGUUACCUACAAAGUAUAGAAGUUGGAGUCAGGAAAUUCAGCACAAAUUCUCCAAGUGGGGAAACCUCCUCUACUUUCUUGGAACCUACUAAAUGGGGUUCUCUCUUCUCUUCCUCUUUUGUCUCUCAAUCAAGUAACUAUAAAUAACUCCCUAAAUGGUUUUAUUCACUAUUGAAUAAUGGUGGUGAUCUUAGAAAGGCAAACUGUUUUUAGUCUGGAUUUUUAAAGCAAAUAGGGCCCAAGGCAAAAAACUUACUUUAUGGAAUAUGCAAUUAUAGGGAAGAAGGACUGAGGGAAGGGGAUCAAUAGAGAAGGCAUGGAAAGUAAAUGUAAGGGGUACACUCCCAGUUGGGCUAGUUUUAUAUCAAGCUAGUGGGUUAUCUUUGGAGAGUUACUAUUAUAUCAAGUUACUGGGAUAUCUUUAGAGAGCUACUGUGUUUCUGAAUGAUUUAUCUAGGGAUAGAAAGGGAGAAUUCACCUUCUUGUGUCUGCCGUUAGAAAAAUUCAUCCCCUGACCAUCAACUGUGACACUCUUUUAGGUUGUACCAUGUGACCCUCUAGCAGCUAUGAGGAGGCUAGAUCACAAAACAGCUAUGACAGCAUCUACAGUGGCAGCCACACUGCAUGGAGCAAGCUAAUGGGUGGAAGCAAGUCAGUGACACUUGCCAUUGUCCAUGAAUAAUUUGCAACCUCACAAACCAGCUGGAUAAAUCAGUGCACCUCCACAGUGUCUCAGAGGCUAGACUCGAACUCCUGGGCUCAAGAAUCCUAUCACCUCAGCCUUCCAAGAAGCUGGGACUACAGGCAUACAUCUCUACACCUGACUGGGGGCUACAUAAUAAUUUUCAGAUGAAGAAAUGGAGGCACAGAAAGAGUAAGUGAUUUAACCGAAGUCAAAAGUUUGCAGCAGAACAAAGAUUUGAGUCCAACCAGUCAGUACACAGGAACUGCACUUUAAACUGCUGCCCCAAUCUCACAGAGAUUUUGUUAAGCAGGUGGUAAUUGGAUUGAGCUUUUACAAAGUGUCACGUUUAAGUGAGAGAAAAGAAUAUAGAGAACACUCCAAUGGGAAGGAGGCUGUGAUAAUAGAAGAGAAAUUACAAAGUUAGAAUGAGAAUUACAUGUUUUAAAAAAUGACAAAGCUUAGAAAUUUCCUAUGGUGACCUAUUAUGAGAAAUGAAGUUGGGAUAGAUUUAAUUCUUAGAAAAUUUUGAAGUUCAUUGAGUACAUUAUUGAUGAGGUAGAAAACAGAGAACCAUUACAAGAUUUUUUUGAAUAGUCAUGUGAGGAAAACACUUUUUAUGGGCAAUUAAUCUUUAGUGAGCAUGAAGGUGUGUUGGAAGAAGAAAGGAACAAGUGGUGAAAUUUAGCUAGAAACCUAUUGGGAAAAUAGAAACCCCCAGAACUAUGAGGAGACCCUCCAAAGAAUGCUGUGUAUAUCAGUUCCUGCGGUUUCACUUACUGCUUAAAAGUGAUAAAUUGUUUUAGGUGCUAUUCCACACACUUACUAGCAAGGACACCAUUUUCACACUUUACCUUUGAGUGAUAAUAGAUAUGAGUACCUUUGAAUA